GAACGGGUGAGUAACACGUGGGCAAUCUGCCCUUCACUCUGGGACAAGCCCUGGAAACGGGGUCUAAUACCGGAUAACACCUGCCCGGGCAUCUGGGUGGGUUAAAAGCUCCGGCGGUGAAGGAUGAGCCCGCGGCCUAUCAGCUUGUUGGUGAGGUAGUGGCUCACCAAGGCGACGACGGGUAGCCGGCCUGAGAGGGCGACCGGCCACACUGGGACUGAGACACGGCCCAGACUCCUACGGGAGGCAGCAGUGGGGAAUAUUGCACAAUGGGCGAAAGCCUGAUGCAGCGACGCCGCGUGAGGGAUGACGGCCUUCGGGUUGUAAACCUCUUUCAGCAGGGAAGAAGCGAGAGUGACGGUACCUGCAGAAGAAGCGCCGGCUAACUACGUGCCAGCAGCCGCGGUAAUACGUAGGGCGCAAGCGUUGUCCGGAAUUAUUGGGCGUAAAGAGCUCGUAGGCGGCUUGUCACGUCGGGUGUGAAAGCCCGGGGCUUAACCCCGGGUCUGCAUUCGAUACGGGCUAGCUAGAGUGUGGUAGGGGAGAUCGGAAUUCCUGGUGUAGCGGUGAAAUGCGCAGAUAUCAGGAGGAACACCGGUGGCGAAGGCGGAUCUCUGGGCCAUUACUGACGCUGAGGAGCGAAA
This 644-nucleotide ribosomal RNA is filed under the name Streptomyces sp. 3134_1. RNAcentral's name for it is "bacterial SSU rRNA". It matches the Rfam family "Bacterial small subunit ribosomal RNA", at positions 100 to 758 of the family's 1533-position model. Lineage: Bacteria; Bacillati; Actinomycetota; Actinomycetes; Kitasatosporales; Streptomycetaceae. The record is from RNAcentral.